Molecule: ribosomal RNA, 460 nt
Filed under: uncultured bacterium
Lineage: Bacteria
Description: partial 16S ribosomal RNA
Rfam family: Bacterial small subunit ribosomal RNA
Source: RNAcentral
CCUACGGGUGGCAGCAGUGAGGAAUAUUGGUCAAUGGACGAGAGUCUGAACCAGCCAAGUAGCGUGAAGGAUGACUGCCCUAUGGGUUGUAAACUUCUUUUAUAUGGGAAUAAAAUGUUCCACGUGUGGGAUUUUGUAUGUACCAUAUGAAUAAGGAUCGGCUAACUCCGUGCCAGCAGCCGCGGUAAUACGGAGGAUCCGAGCGUUAUCCGGAUUUAUUGGGUUUAAAGGGAGCGUAGGGGGAUUGUUAAGUCAGUUGUGAAAGUUUGCGGCUCAACCCUGAAAUUGCAGUUGAAACUGGGAGUCUUGAGUAAAGUAGAGGUGGGCGGAAUUCGUGGUGUAGCGGUGAAAUGCUUAGAUAUCGCGAAGAACUCCGAUUGCGAAGGCAGCUUACUGGACUGCAACUGACACUGAGGCUCGAAAGUGUGGGUAUCAAACAGGAUUAGAUACCCCAGUAGUC